AUCCACUUAUCAGUGAGUACAUAUUGUGUGAGUUCCUUUGUGAAUUCAGUCAGAAUCAUGACACAGGCAAGGAGGCUUGGAAAAGUGAACAUUGGAAGGAAAACUACAGGGUUCAUUCCAAAUGGUCAGAGGGCUUUUGGGGGGAUGUGUUUUUUGUUUGUUUGUGUGUUUUAUUUCAUUUUUUUCCACAGAACUAAAAGCUGGGGUGGUGAGGAAGAAGAUGUCCAAGAGUAGAAUAAAGUUCUUAGACUGCUAAUUCCUUUCCAUAUCCCCUCCUUCUUCUGUUUUCUAAUUACAAGAAAUUUCAUAGAACCAAAUCAUCUAUCACAGAAAGUGAGGAGGUUUGUGAAGAACCAUGAACUAAAAACUUAGAUAAAGAUAAUACCUACCACCUUUGAGAAAUAACAAGGUUCUUUAUGCUUCUCGUGAAAAGAACUACUGAAAUGCACAUCAUAUGCAUAGACAUGUCUCAUAAAUCUUUUCUAUGUGCAAUCACCAUGCCAUGUGCAUUGAAACAUUCCAUGCUGUUUCUUUGUAGUAAAGUACUAAUUCUAGGUAAUAAAGGCAACUUAUCUCUCAAAGGACCAAACUGUUGUAAAAAAUCGCAAAGUAGGCUCCUUGUGUGCACAGAAAAGCUCUUCCCUAGACUUCAGGUCACUGUGUAAAGUCUCUGCCUUCUUUUGUUUUGUCCUCUUCCCUUUUUGCUCCUCCCCUUACCCCAAGAGAUUAUGAAAAAUACUUGUUGACAUCCCUAAAUAGAGCAAUAAUAUUAAUGCUUAAUUAUUGGUGUUUUGACUGCACGUAGGUGUACUUGAGGGUGUCAGGUUCCCUGGACCUGCAGUUAUAGACAGUUGUGAGCUGCCACGCAGGUGCUGAGAGCCACUACUCCUCACUGCUGACCCAUCUUUCCUGCCACUAACUUAGGAUCUUAUUAUACAAUAAAAGAUACUUGAUUGAAAAGCUGAGUUGCAGUCAUAAAAAUGGACAGGAAGAGACAAUUUAAUGUGGUAUUCAUAAUACUGAAAUUGAUAGUCGUGUGUGAACACAUACACACAAUUAUCUGUGUGUCUGUCUGACUGUCUGAGUAUAUGCCAUGUAUAUAAAUACUCUUAGAAGCCAGAAGAGGAUGUCAGUUCUUCUAGAACUGGUGCUAUAGAUGCUCAUGAACUGCCCCUGUAGGUACUGGGAACCAACUUAAGCAGUAAGUUAGAAUAGUUAGGACUUUUAACCUUUGAACCAUCUCUUUACCCUUCUCCUCCCUUUUUACUGAAGACAGGUUCUUUCACUGAACUUGAAGGUGAUUGAUUAAGUUAUGUGGGCUGGUCAGUAAGCGUCAGGGAGCUUCCUAUCUCCAUCUGCUACCCAGCAGUUGGAUUACAAGCAGAUGCUACCAUGCUCCGCUUUUUAUGUAGGUUCUGGGGAAUAGGAACUCAAAUCUACUUGUUUAAGAGGCAAGUCUUUUAUCCACUGAGAUUUCUAAAUCCAUUAGUUAUUGAUAGUAUGGCAAUGAAAAAAACUGAUUCAAAGAUGGCUUUGUAUUUUUGGAGCCCAGAUCUUAGGGAACCUGAGUUCCUCCGAAUUUUUAUCUCAUCUCUAAGCUAAACUGCUAUGUAUGCCUUGGGAAUAUGCAGCUUUCUAUAUGUAACUGAAAACAGUCUUUUAGUAACUUCAAUAUAUGCCCAAGAAUUUGGAGCACAUAUAUUGCAAAAAUGCAAUUUUUUUUUUUUUGCAGUUCAACAAUCUGGAUCCUAUCUUAUUCAUUAAAUAAGGACCUGGCAGAGUCCUGAAAUAUGAGCGUUUUCUUUUGUGCUUGGGGUCUGGUUGGAAGAGUGAUUUCCGUGGAGACAGAAAAUCAGAAGCAAUCAAAAUGCAGUUUAUGGAGCUUAGUCCCAACAAUUACCUCUCCAACUCCGUCACCUAUGGCCCACUGAAGAGGGCUCUUCAUUGCAGAAGAGAGUGUAGAAAGAUCGGAAGAGCCGGAAGGUUGAGGAAGUUGUUAUGGGAUGGAGUUUGCUCUGAGAUGGUGUCUCCUAGGAAUGUCAGAAGGGCUAGACCAAUAAAUAUCCUUUCAUGGUUAAAAAAUACUAUAAAAAUGAGGUCUGGAAGGAAUUUAUCCUAACAUAGGGGAUACGUGUGAAAACUUUCUAGCUUCUAUCAUUAUAAACAGAAGGAAAGCUGAAAUUGUUGUGCAGAGAUAGUGGUUCGAGACCCCUUUGGGGGUUGAAUGACCAUUUCACAGAGGUUGCCUGAAACCAUCUGAAAAAGAUAGUUAUAUUAUAAUUCAUAACAUUAGCAAAAUUACAAUUAUAAAAUAACAAUGAAAUUUAUGGUUGGGGGUCACUACAAAUUGAGGAACUGUAUGAAAGGGUCUCAGCAUGAUGAUGGUUGAGAACCACUGGUCUAAGAUGAGGAAUAAGACAAAGAUUCCAUCUUCACAACUCAUAUUUAAUAUAGUAUUAGAAGUUCAGGCCAAGAAAUAAAACAAGAAAAAGAAAUGAAGGACAUCCAAAUAGAAAAGGAACAAGUCAAAUUACUUCUGUUUAUAAAAUUAUGACUACACAUAUAGAAAAUCGAUUUCCUCCCUGCAAAAAUUUUUACAGUGAUAAAUUUAAUAGUUACAGGCUAUAAAACCACCAUAAAAAUAAGUAGCAUUUUGUACUUUAUUAAUAAAGUUUCUAAGAAACCAAAGAAGCAAUCUCAAAAACAGAUGUAAAAAAUACAUAAAAGAAAAUUUUAAACAAGGAAAUUAAUGAUCUCUGCAAAGAAAUGAACAAAACACUGUUGAGAUAAAUUGAAGAUGACACACAAAAAAUGAAAAGAAAUCCUAUGCUAUGCUUUUGGAAUGAAAAAUAAUAAUAUUAAUAUAUUAACUGUUCCUACCAAAAUAUCAUUGAAAUUUUUCAUGUAGAAAACACACUCCAAACAAAUUUUAUGAAACUACUAAAGAACUUAAAAAUAGCAAAAAGAGUUCUGAGCAAAACAAACAAUACCGGAGAUAUUGCAAUGUCUGCUAUGUAAACAUACUUAGUAUUACUAAAGAAAGUAUAGAGUGAUAGAAAGCAAAACAUAGGUGAAUGACCUGAAUUGACUUUGCCCCAAUAUAUUGUAUAAAUUGCUAAGAAGAAUAUGAAAAAAAAAAACGUAUCAUCAGAGAAAUGCAAAUUGAAACCUCCUCAAGAUAUCAUAUUACCCCUAUUAGAAUGCAUAUCAUAAAAAGAACAAACACAGGUUGGCAAAGAUGAGAAAUUGGGAACUCUCAUGUAAUGGCGGAAAUAUAAAUUAGGACAUAAGGGAAAACAGUAUGGAAUAUAAUAUGGAAUUUCUCUACAAAGCUAUAAGAAAAGCCUUAUAUGAUCUAUGAAUCCCACUACUGCUAAGGAGUCAAAGGAAAUGACAUCAUCAUCAGGCAUGCUGCACUAGCAUGCUGGUUGCAGAAUUUUCAAAAUAGCCAGUACAUCGAAUCAGCCUAUGUGUAAGAUAAAUAGACAAGGAAAAUGUGGUGGAAAUACAUAACGGAGUGAAAGCAAUGAAGAGAACAGAAGUCUGUGGAUUGUAGCAUGACUGAAGACAUUAAAAAGAGUGAAAACUCAGACGCAAAAGCUGAAGUCACAUGCUCUCUCCUAUGGGUGCUAAAGUUGAUUUCACAGAGAAUAAAAUAAUACCAGAGGCUGCUUAGUAUUACACAGAGUAUUGUUGUUGGUUUCCAGUUAGCAGGUUGAUAUGGGGAAUAACUUCUAAUAUUUUUUUUCUUUUUUAAAAAUAUGUUUUAUUAUUACUUAUUUUCCUCAAUUACAUUUAGAAUGCUAUCCCAAAAGUCCCCCAUACCCCCCCCCCACUUCCCUACCUACCCAUUCCCAUUUAUUGGCCCUGGCAUUCCCCUGUACUGGGGCAUAUACAGUUUGUGUGUCCAAUGGGCCUGUCUUCCCACUGAUGGCCGACUAGGCCAUCUUUUGAUACAUAUGCAGCUAGAGUCAAGAGCUCUGGGGUACUGGUUAGUUCAUAAUGUUGUUCCACCUAUAGGGUUGCAGAUCCCUUUAGUUCCUUGGGUACUUUCUCUAGCUCCUCCAUUGGGGGUGCUGUGCUCCAUCCAAUAGCUGACUGUGAGCAUCUACUUAUGUGUUUGCUAGGCCCAGGCCUAGUCUCACAAGAGACAGCUAUAUCAGGGUCCUUUCAGCAAAAUCUUGCUAGUGUAUGCAAUGGUGUCAUCAUUUGGAGGUUAAUUAUGGGAUGGAUCUCUGGAUAUGGCAGUCUCUAGAUGGUCCAUCCUUUUGUCUCAGCUCCAAACUUUGUCUCUGUAACUCCUUCCAUGGGUGAUUGUUUCCAAUUCUAAGAAGGGGCAAAGUGUACACACUUUGGUCUUUGUUCUUCUUCAGUUUCAUGUGUUUUGCAAAUUGUAUCUUAUAUCUCGGGUAUACUAAGUUUCUGGGCUAAUAUCCACUUAUCAGUGAGUACAUAUCAUUUGAGUUCUUUUGUGAUUGUGUUACCUCACUCAGGAUGAUGCCCUCCAGGUCCAUCCAUUUGCCUAGGAAUUUCAUAAAUUCAUUCUUUUUAAUAGCUGAGCAGUACUCCAUUGUGUAAAUGUACCACAUUUUUUGUAUCCAUUCCUCUGUUGAGGGGCAUAGCAUACAUAAUUACUAUGUUUCUUGACAAUUAAUUGAACAUUUCAAAAUAGAUAGCAGAGAGAAAUUUGGAUGCUCAAAUAUUGUAGGAAAAGUUUUAGAUAUUUCACUUAUAUUUCCAUGUCACAAACAUGUGUGGUAGGUUGUGUUUGUUUUUGUCACCCCUCUGUAACUAAAACCCUUCACAGAAGUAACUUGAGGGGGAUUUCCUUCAGCUCGAGGUUUCAGAGGGCUGUCAUUGAUUUUAGAGAAGGGAAGCACAACAGAGCAGUUCGGUUCAUAUUGGUGAAAGCUGUUCGCAUGGUAAUGGAUGAGGAAGCAGAGCCAGAUAGCCUGCAAAGGGAAUGCCUCUCCAGACCUACUUCUGCCAGAUUGGCCCCAUUCUGCAAAGUUCCUGCAACCUCCCAAAAGAGAACCAUCAGCUGGGAAAGAAGCCAAACAAGACUUCAUAACGAGAACUUCUGAGGACUAAUUCAGAGGGAAAUCACACACUAUGGAUUAA
Mus musculus (house mouse) is the source of this 5121-nucleotide long non-coding RNA. RefSeq annotates it as predicted gene, 54194. The transcript has 2 exons. Lineage: Eukaryota; Metazoa; Chordata; Mammalia; Rodentia; Muridae. The record is from RefSeq and is a predicted model, not a curated record.